This is a long non-coding RNA of Alligator sinensis (Chinese alligator), 476 nucleotides long. RefSeq lists it as uncharacterized. The record is from RefSeq and is a predicted model, not a curated record. NCBI's taxonomy places the organism in Eukaryota, Metazoa, Chordata, Crocodylia, Alligatoridae. The transcript has 2 exons.
GCGGGAGCGCGGGGCGCCUUGGGGGGGGCACUGCGUGGCCUUACCCCCUGCUUUCCCCACAGCCUGGGAUCACAUCUGGAAGGAGCACACGCAAGUGCCCAGCAGUGUGGCCGUCUACACAGAUGCCCUGGAUGGGAAGGGUUAAAUGCCCUUCCAGGGGCUGAAGAUGCUGCUAUGACCCCGGGGCAGGGCCCCAGGGACACCUGCCUUCUGCCCCGGUGCCUGACUCCUGAUGGGCCGUGGGGGAAGGGGCUCCCCUGGUGCAUUGUGGGAGCUACGUCUGGGGGCAGGUUUGGUGGUGGGGGCUGGUCCCCCCCACCCUGAAUGCACCCGGCACAGAGGCAGGGCACAGCUGUGGUCCCCAGGGUGUUUGGUGGAGGGCACGUGGUGGCCUUGGGGCUUGGCCUGGCCUGGUCCGUCUGUCAGCUUCUGUCUUGUUAUCUCCUGUUCUGUCCCCAUUAAAUCCUACAUCCCUU